Molecule: long non-coding RNA, 2119 nt
Organism: Oncorhynchus tshawytscha (Chinook salmon)
Lineage: Eukaryota; Metazoa; Chordata; Actinopteri; Salmoniformes; Salmonidae
Source: Ensembl
CCUGAACGACACACCUACUGAACGACACACCUACUGAACGACACACCUACUGAACGACACACCUCCUGAACGACACACCUACUGAACGACACGCCUACUGAACGACACACCUCCUGAACGACACUCCUCCUGAACGACACACCUCCUGAACGACACACCUACUGAACGACACACCUACUGAACGACACACCUACUGAACGACACGCCUCCUGAACGACACACCUCCUGAACGACACAGACACGUUUGAAAACACACCACACACAUUCAUUACAAACACAUUGACAGAGGUGGUCUAGACAGCAUCGGUCCUUAGAUGAGAUUAAAAAUAAGAAUCGUUUCAUUAAAUUACAAAACAAAUAUUAAACAUAACAUAAUAUGGUUCAUCUGUGGUUAUAAAUUCUUGUUGCUAAUUUAAAAAGAUUUUCAUUUGUGUGAUUUCUGUAAGAUCAUGCAGACGUUUCAAGUGAUCUCGAGUUCCAGAAAUGGACUCCUUUUACAGAAAAACCUGAUGCCGCCUGAAGAAGGAAAGCGACAAGCAACUGUAACUGACCAAUGGGGGGAGGGACGCGGAGACACGCAGGAAGUUGCCUAGGACACAGGAAGUAGUUACAGAACAGUCAGUCAGUCAAAGGAACCCAACCUCCGCUCCUCCAAAACACAAUUCUCCAAAAACAAAAACAAUGGAAGCUGAAGAAGGAGAGGAGGGUUGUUCCAUCGUCUGUUUUCUCUCCCUGUCUGUUUGGGGGGGAGGGGAGGGGGGGCUUUUUUUCUCUUUUUUUCCCCCACAAAAACAUUAAGAAAGACUGUGUUUGGUGUAACUAUAGCCUUCAAGUAGUGACAACGACCUCGAGACUGCAUGAAAACUACUGUAAAGCUUCCACAACGUGUUUCGUAGGUGGUAGAAAUGCAAGACACUUUGUCACUGUUGCUAGUCGAUGGGGAAGACGAAGACCAGUAAAAGCAUCGUUCCAGACAUUAUAGCCGCGGAAAGAUUCAGAACAAAGUGCUUUUUUAUUUUAAUACAUUGUUGGAGGUUUUCAUCAUUUUUUACGAAAAGCUGCAGCAUGACGUUAUUGAGUCUGUAAAUAGUAUAUCUAUAUAUAUAUAUAUACACAUACAUAUAUAUAUAUACAUAUAAUUAUUAUUAUUGUUACUAGGUGUGGACUCGGAACCAAGUCAUUUAUAAACCUCCAAUAUGUUAUUGUGUUCUGAAGCAUUGUUCCUUGUUUUAACGGAGGGAGGGGGGUUUGGGGGGCAGACGGUGGUCCCAGACCUGAUAUACCUUUGAGAGAGCGAUAUAGUCCCAGACACCUAUCAUUAUACACCCCUUAACAAGCACCUGAUUGGCUAACAGAAUGCCUGAACUCACUGUGUUGUUGAGGUAAUGAUUUGACACACUUGAAGAGGAGUCACUGAGUCAUCUAUGGAUCAGCAUACUCUCCUGCCCUGCCCUGUCCUGUCCUGUCCUGCCCUGUCCUGCCCUACCCUGCCCUGUCCUGCCCUGUCCUGUCCUGCCCUGCCCUGCCCUGUCCUGCCCUACCCUGUCCUGCCCUGUCCUGUCCUGUCCUGCCCUACCCUGUCCUGCCCUGCCCUGUCCUGCCCUACCCUGUCCUGCCCUGUCCUGCCCUGCCCUGUCCUGCCCUACCCUGCCCUGUCCUGCCCUACCCUGUCCUGCCCUACCCUGCCCUACCCUGCCCUGUCCUGCCCUGUCCUGCUGUCCUACCCUGUCCUGCCCUGCCCUGUCCUGCCCUACCCUGUCCUGCCCUACCCUGCCCUAUCCUGCCCUGUCCUGCCCUACCCUGCCCUGUCCUGCCCUGUCCCUACCCUGCCCUGCCCUAGUUUACAAGCCCCUGAUGCAGACACCAUCUAAAGCAGUCAAAAGAAGACUGUAUUAAAUCCUUCAGCGCUUUUCAUAGUUUUUGACACUCGACUUCAGUGUUGACUAAACAAAAGGAAGAUUUUUUUUUUUUUUUGAAGAUUAGGCAGAUAUUUAACCCAGGUUUUACGUUUUCUUUUCAAAUGUUUUAAAUUAUCGUUUUAAAAGGUGUAUCUAAACUACGUGAGGCCCCAACAUGCCCCAACAUGCCCCAACAUGCCCCAACAUGCCCCAACAUGCCC